RNAcentral lists this ribosomal RNA (424 nucleotides) under uncultured bacterium. RNAcentral's name for it is "bacterial SSU rRNA". It matches the Rfam family "Bacterial small subunit ribosomal RNA", at positions 355 to 796 of the family's 1533-position model. The record is from RNAcentral.
UGGGGAAUUUUCCGCAAUGGGCGAAAGCCUGACGGAGCGACGCCGCGUGCAGGAUGAAGGAUUUCGGUCUGUAAACUGCUGUCAGGGGGGACGAUGAUGACGGUACCCCCAAAGGAAGCAUCGGCUAACUACGUGCCAGCAGCCGCGGUAAGACGUAGGAUGCGAGCGUUGUUCGGAUUUAUUGGGCGUAAAGCGUGCGUAGGCGGUUUCAUAAGUCUGGUGUAAAAGCUAGGGGCUCAACCCCUGUGAUGCCCUGGAAACUGUGAGACUUGAGUACGGUAGGGGAAGGUGGAAUUCCCAGUGUAGCGGUGAAAUGCGUAGAUAUUGGGAAGAACACCGGUGGCGAAGGCGACCUUCUGGGCCGUCACUGACGCUGAGGCACGAAAGCUUGGGGAGCAAACGGGAUUAGAUACCCCCGUAGUCC